AAACAAUUGAAGUUAGCCUUGUUGUUAUUAGUUCAGCUCCUUCUGGGGUGUAUUCUAAUGGCCAACAGACCAACAUCAAUUCUAUAGUGUUGGAUAAGGGUUUGGGAAAUGUAGCAGUCUUUGACUGUGUUAUAGUCCUGGACUUUGAUACAGUGCUUGGGAUUGAGGAAUGCAGUAAGCUACUCUUGUGGCGGGACAAUUUUAUUGUUCUUCUUACUGAGGAUGUUGGGUAUAGCUUCAACUGA
RNAcentral lists this ribosomal RNA (245 nucleotides) under Kweilingia divina. RNAcentral's name for it is "partial large subunit ribosomal RNA". The record is from RNAcentral. Lineage: Eukaryota; Fungi; Basidiomycota; Pucciniomycetes; Pucciniales; Crossopsoraceae.